Molecule: ribosomal RNA, 429 nt
Filed under: Pseudomonadota bacterium
Lineage: Bacteria; Pseudomonadati; Pseudomonadota
Description: Proteobacteria bacterium partial 16S ribosomal RNA
Rfam family: Bacterial small subunit ribosomal RNA
Source: RNAcentral
UGGGGAAUAUUGGACAAUGGGCGAAAGCCUGAUCCAGCCAUGCCGCGUGUGUGAAGAAGGUCUUCGGAUUGUAAAGCACUUUAAGUUGGGAGGAAGGGCAAUAAGCGAAUACCUUGCUGUUUUGACGUUACCGACAGAAUAAGCACCGGCUAACUCUGUGCCAGCAGCCGCGGUAAUACAGAGGGUGCAAGCGUUAAUCGGAAUUACUGGGCGUAAAGCGCGCGUAGGUGGUUCGUUAAGUUGAAUGUGAAAGCCCCGGGCUCAACCUGGGAACUGCAUCCAAAACUGGCGAGCUAGAGUAGGGCAGAGGGUGGUGGAAUUUCCUGUGUAGCGGUGAAAUGCGUAGAUAUAGGAAGGAACACCAGUGGCGAAGGCGACCACCUGGGCUCAUACUGACACUGAGGUGCGAAAGCGUGGGGAGCAAACAGG